RNAcentral lists this ribosomal RNA (402 nucleotides) under uncultured bacterium. RNAcentral's name for it is "bacterial SSU rRNA". It matches the Rfam family "Bacterial small subunit ribosomal RNA", at positions 355 to 774 of the family's 1533-position model. The record is from RNAcentral.
UGGGGAAUAUUGCACAAUGGGGGAAACCCUGAUGCAGCGACGCCGCGUGAAGGAAGAAGUAUCUCGGUAUGUAAACUUCUAUCAGCAGGGAAGAAAGUGACGGUACCUGACUAAGAAGCCCCGGCUAACUACGUGCCAGCAGCCGCGGUAAUACGUAGGGGGCAAGCGUUAUCCGGAUUUACUGGGUGUAAAGGGAGCGUAGACGGAAUGGCAAGUCUGAUGUGAAAGGCGGGGGCUCAACCCCUGGACUGCAUUGGAAACUGCCAGUCUUGAGUACCGGAGGGGUAAGCGGAAUUCCUAGUGUAGCGGUGAAAUGCGUAGAUAUUAGGAGGAACACCAGUGGCGAAGGCGGCUUACUGAACGGUAACUGACGUUGAGGCUCGAAAGCGUGGGGAGCAAACA